AACCCACUCCAGUAUUCUUGCCUGGAGAAUCCCAUGGACAGAAGAGCCUGGCAGCCUAUGGUCCACAGACUCACAGAGAGUCAGACACGACUGAAGCGACUCAGCUCAAGCACAGCAUUGAGGUCCUCAGCUUUGGAGUCUAUCUUGACUAGUGAAUGAUGCAGUCGAAACAAAUGAUGCAUGAACUGGAGUUAUGCUGCCAUCAAAUACUGGCUUAGAUACUGGCUAUAUUGGUCUCUGAACUCCAGCUGGAAAGAAGACAGAAAAUUGGAAAUCAAAGAACAUUUUGCUGUCCUACCAAUUUAAACACAAAGUAACAGAUACAGAAGUGAAGCAAAAUAAAUGAUCAUUCACAGUAGUGAUUCUAUAAUGUGAAAUAUAUGUCUUUUAGAUCCACAUAUUCAUCUUUUUCAAUAAAGGAAAAAAAUGGAUUUUCAUUA
Bubalus bubalis (water buffalo) is the source of this 440-nucleotide long non-coding RNA. RefSeq lists it as uncharacterized. The record is from RefSeq and is a predicted model, not a curated record. The transcript has 2 exons. Lineage: Eukaryota; Metazoa; Chordata; Mammalia; Artiodactyla; Bovidae.